Molecule: ribosomal RNA, 267 nt
Filed under: Clostridioides difficile
Lineage: Bacteria; Bacillati; Bacillota; Clostridia; Peptostreptococcales; Peptostreptococcaceae
Description: partial 23S ribosomal RNA
Rfam family: Bacterial large subunit ribosomal RNA
Source: RNAcentral
GGAAAUUUGAGAAGACCUGUCCUUAGUACGAGAGGACCGGGAUGGACGUACCUCUGGUGUACCAGUUGUCCUGCCAAGGGCAUGGCUGGGUAGCUAUGUGCGGAAUGGAUAAGCGCUGAAAGCAUCUAAGCGCGAAGCCAACUUCAAGAUAAGAUUUCCCACCGCAAGGGUAAGACCCCAGAAAGACUAUCUGGUUGAUAGGUCGAAGGUGUAAGUGCAGCAAUGUAUUUAGCUUAUCGAUACUAAUAGGUCGAGGACUUGACCAAU